AUUGAACGCUGGCGGCAUGCCUUACACAUGCAAGUCGAACGGCAGCGGGCCUUCGGGUGCCGGCGAGUGGCGAACGGGUGAGUAAUGCAUCGGAACGUGCCAUUGAGUGGGGGGAUAACGUAGCGAAAGUUACGCUAAUACCGCAUAUUCUGUGAGCAGGAAAGCAGGGGACCGCAAGGCCUUGCGCUCUUUGAGCGGCCGAUGUCAGAUUAGCUAGUUGGUGAGGUAAAGGCUUGCCAAGGCGACGAUCUGUAGCGGGUCUGAGAGGAUGAUCCGCCACACUGGAACUGAGACACGGUCCAGACUCCUACGGGAGGCAGCAGUGGGGAAUUUUGGACAAUGGGCGCAAGCCUGAUCCAGCCAUGCCGCGUGAGUGAAGAAGGCCUCGGUUGUAAG
Molecule: ribosomal RNA, 396 nt
Filed under: uncultured bacterium
Lineage: Bacteria
Description: bacterial SSU rRNA
Rfam family: Bacterial small subunit ribosomal RNA
Source: RNAcentral